CAUAGCAAGACGUGUCAAGACGAUCGGCGUUUCGCGACCGAGAAAUUCCUUUUCGAAAUACAGGAGAUAAUAAGACGUGUUGAAACAUUUCAAGACGUGUCGGCGUUUCGCGACCAACCAAUCCCUGAUUGAAAUUCGACGUCAUGGAAAGUUUUAUUGGCGCGUAAACGACACCAUAACAGAUUGCAGGCAACUCGACAAAUUUUGGAGGGAAUAUUGGUAACGUUUAAACAAUUAUAACAAAAAUUAACAUCCACAUUAAUAUUUAUAUAUUUUUAUUUCUUUAUUAAACUAUUCGUUGCAAGCAUGAUCAUAAUUUUCCAA
Molecule: long non-coding RNA, 324 nt
Organism: Colletes gigas
Lineage: Eukaryota; Metazoa; Arthropoda; Insecta; Hymenoptera; Colletidae
Exons: 3
Source: RefSeq, a predicted model, not a curated record